UCUUCCCUCUCUCUUCGUGCCUCCUCCCUGCACGUCGAGCGCACGGACGAGAAGCUUGCUUCUCUGAUGUUAGCGGCGGACGGGUGAGUAACACGUGGAUAACCUACCUAUAAGACUGGGAUAACUUCGGGAAACCGGAGCUAAUACCGGAUGAUAUUUUGAACCGCAUGGUUCAAAAGUGAAAGACGGUCUUGCUGUCACUUAUAGAUGGAUCCGCGCUGCAUUAGCUAGUUGGUAAGGUAACGGCUUACCAAGGCAACGAUGCAUAGCCGACCUGAGAGGGUGAUCGGCCACACUGGAACUGAGACACGGUCCAGACUCCUACGGGAGGCAGCAGUAGGGAAUCUUCCGCAAUGGGCGAAAGCCUGACGGAGCAACGCCGCGUGAGUGAUGAAGGUCUUCGGAUCGUAAAACUCUGUGAUUAGGGAAGAACAUAUGUGUAAGUAACUGUGCACAUCUUGACGGUACCUAAUCAGAAAGCCACGGCUAACUACGUG
Molecule: ribosomal RNA, 497 nt
Filed under: uncultured bacterium
Lineage: Bacteria
Description: partial 16S ribosomal RNA
Rfam family: Bacterial small subunit ribosomal RNA
Source: RNAcentral